AGGUUAAGUUAGAAAGGGCGCACGGUGAAUGCCUUGGCACUAGGAGCCGAUGAAGGACGGUACUAACACCGAUAUGCUUCGGGGAGCUGUAAGUAAGCUUUGAUCCGGAGAUUUCCGAAUGGGGAAACCCCCUAUCCGUAAUGGGAUAGGAUCCUUAUCUGAAUACAUAGGGUAUGGAAGGCAGACCCGGGGAACUGAAACAUCUAAGUACCCGGAGGAAGAGAAAGCAAACGCGAUUCCCUGAGUAGCGGCGAGCGAAACGGGAUUAGCCCAAACCAGGAGGCUUGCCUCCUGGGGUUGUAGGACACUCUACACGGAGUUACAAAGGAACGAGGUAAAUGAACAGGUCUGGAAAGGCCGGCCAGAGAAGGUAAAAGCCCUGUAGUUGAAACUUCGUUCCCU
Molecule: ribosomal RNA, 402 nt
Filed under: Cytobacillus firmus
Lineage: Bacteria; Bacillati; Bacillota; Bacilli; Caryophanales; Bacillaceae
Description: partial 23S ribosomal RNA
Rfam family: Bacterial large subunit ribosomal RNA
Source: RNAcentral